RNAcentral lists this ribosomal RNA (671 nucleotides) under Vibrio parahaemolyticus. RNAcentral's name for it is "partial 23S ribosomal RNA". It matches the Rfam family "Bacterial large subunit ribosomal RNA", at positions 2270 to 2925 of the family's 2925-position model. Lineage: Bacteria; Pseudomonadati; Pseudomonadota; Gammaproteobacteria; Vibrionales; Vibrionaceae. The record is from RNAcentral.
UUGACUGGGGCGGUCUCCUCCCAAAGAGUAACGGAGGAGCACGAAGGUGGGCUAAUCACGGUUGGACAUCGUGAGGUUAGUGCAAUGGCAUAAGCCCGCUUGACUGCGAGAAUGACAAUUCGAGCAGGUGCGAAAGCAGGUCAUAGUGAUCCGGUGGUUCUGAAUGGAAGGGCCAUCGCUCAACGGAUAAAAGGUACUCCGGGGAUAACAGGCUGAUACCGCCCAAGAGUUCAUAUCGACGGCGGUGUUUGGCACCUCGAUGUCGGCUCAUCACAUCCUGGGGCUGAAGUCGGUCCCAAGGGUAUGGCUGUUCGCCAUUUAAAGUGGUACGCGAGCUGGGUUUAGAACGUCGUGAGACAGUUCGGUCCCUAUCUGCCGUGGGCGUUGGAAGAUUGAAGGGGGCUGCUCCUAGUACGAGAGGACCGGAGUGGACGAACCUCUGGUGUUCGGGUUGUGUCGCCAGACGCAUUGCCCGGUAGCUAAGUUCGGAAUCGAUAACCGCUGAAAGCAUCUAAGCGGGAAGCGAGCCCUGAGAUGAGUCUUCCCUGAUACUUUAAGUAUCCUAAAGGGUUGUCGGAGACUACGACGUUGAUAGGUCAGGUGUGUAAGUGCUGUGAGGCAUUGAGCUAACUGAUACUAAUUGCCCGUGAGGCUUAACCAUACAACACCCA